CCUACGGGAGGCAGCAGUGAGGAAUAUUGGUCAAUGGGCGGGAGCCUGAACCAGCCAAGCCGCGUGAGGGAAGAAGGUACAGCGUAUCGUAAACCUCUUUUGUCAGGGAACAAAGGCGGGGACUAGUCCCCGGAUGAGGGUACCUGAAGAAAAAGCAUCGGCUAACUCCGUGCCAGCAGCCGCGGUAAUACGGAGGAUGCGAGCGUUAUCCGGAUUGAUUGGGUUUAAGGGGUGCGCAGGCGGCCUGUUAAGUCAGCGGUAAAAGCCCGGGGCUCAACCCCGGCGAGCCGUUGAAACUGGCGGGCUGGAGUUGGAGAGAAGUACGCGGAAGGCGCGGUGUAGCGGUGAAAUGCUUAGAUAUCGCGCAGAACCCCGAUUGCGAAGGCAGCGUACCGGCUCCACACUGACGCUGAGGCACGAAAGCGUGGGUAUCGAACAGGAUUAGAUACCCCAGUAGUC
This 459-nucleotide ribosomal RNA is filed under the name uncultured bacterium. RNAcentral describes it as "partial 16S ribosomal RNA". It matches the Rfam family "Bacterial small subunit ribosomal RNA", at positions 338 to 795 of the family's 1533-position model. The record is from RNAcentral.